This 273-nucleotide ribosomal RNA is filed under the name uncultured bacterium. Its description in RNAcentral is "partial 16S ribosomal RNA". It matches the Rfam family "Bacterial small subunit ribosomal RNA", at positions 524 to 796 of the family's 1533-position model. The record is from RNAcentral.
UACGGGGGGGGCAAGCGUUGUUCGGAAUUACUGGGCGUAAAGGGCUCGUAGGUGGCCAACUAAGUCAGACGUGAAAUCCCUCGGCUUAACCGGGGAACUGCAUCUGAUACUGGAUGGCUUGAGUUUGGGAGAGGGAUGCGGAAUUCCAGGUGUAGCGGUGAAAUGCGUAGAUAUCUGGAGGAACACCGGUGGCGAAGGCGGCAUCCUGGACCAACACUGACGCUGAGGAGCGAAAGCCAGGGGAGCAAACGGGAUUAGAAACCCCCGUAGUCC